CGAGCGAACCGGGAAGAGCUCAAAUUUGAAAUCUGGCGUCCUCCGGGCGUCCGAGUUGUAAUCUAUAGAGACGUUUUCCGUGCCGGACCGUGUCCAAGUCCCUUGGAACAGGGUAUCAAAGAGGGUGACAAUCCCGUACUUGACACGACCACCGGUGCUCUGUGAUACGUCCUCUACGAGUCGAGUUGUUUGGGAAUGCAGCUCAAAACGGGUGGUAAACUCCAUCUAAAGCUAAAUAUUGGUGGGAGACCGAUAGCGAACAAGUACCGUGAGGGAAAGAUGAAAAGCACUUUGGAAAGAGAGUUAAACAGUAUGUGAAAUUGUUGAAAGGGAAACGAUUGAAGUCAGUCGUGUCCAUUGGACUCAGCCGGUUCUGCCGGUCUACUUCCUUUGGACGGGUCAACAUCGGUUUUGGCCGACGGAUAAUGGCGGUUGGAAAGUAGCACCCCUCGGGGUGUGUUAUAGCCUCCCGUCGCACACGUCGGCCGAGACCGAGGAACGCAGCUCGCCCUCGUGGCAGGGGUUCGCCCUCUUCCGAGCUUAGG
RNAcentral lists this ribosomal RNA (545 nucleotides) under Agaricomycotina sp. IP. RNAcentral describes it as "LSU rRNA". It matches the Rfam family "Eukaryotic large subunit ribosomal RNA", at positions 90 to 621 of the family's 3401-position model. RNAcentral also lists the same sequence under 1 other name. Lineage: Eukaryota; Fungi; Basidiomycota. The record is from RNAcentral.